ACGACGACGUUGAUAGGCCGGGUGUGUAAGCGCAGCGAUGCGUUGAGCUAACCGGUACUAAUGAACCGUGAGGCUUAACCUUAC
Molecule: ribosomal RNA, 84 nt
Filed under: Salmonella enterica subsp. enterica serovar Anatum str. USDA 100
Lineage: Bacteria; Pseudomonadati; Pseudomonadota; Gammaproteobacteria; Enterobacterales; Enterobacteriaceae
Description: partial 23S ribosomal RNA
Rfam family: Bacterial large subunit ribosomal RNA
Source: RNAcentral